This 286-nucleotide ribosomal RNA is filed under the name uncultured bacterium. RNAcentral describes it as "partial 16S ribosomal RNA". It matches the Rfam family "Bacterial small subunit ribosomal RNA", at positions 28 to 313 of the family's 1533-position model. The record is from RNAcentral.
GACGAACGCUGGCGGCGUGCUUAACACAUGCAAGUCGAGCGGUAAGGCCCUUUCGGGGGUACACGAGCGGCGAACGGGUGAGUAACACGUGGGUGACCUGCCCUCAGCUCUGGGAUAAGCCUGGGAAACCGGGUCUAAUACCGGAUAUGACUCCAUGACGCAUGUUGGUGGGGUGGAAAGCCUUGUGCGGCUGAGGAUGGGCCCGCGGCCUAUCAGCUUGGUUGGUGGGGUGANGGCCUACCAAGGCGACGACGGGUAGCCGGCCUGAGAGGGCGACCGGCCACAC